RNAcentral lists this long non-coding RNA (569 nucleotides) under Androctonus crassicauda. The record is from RNAcentral. Lineage: Eukaryota; Metazoa; Arthropoda; Arachnida; Scorpiones; Buthidae.
GUUUGAAUAUAUACAUCUUAUUUUACUGGAUAGUAACUAUUAUAUAGCUAGAGUAUGGUUCUAAAAAUUGAACUAUUGAAAUUAUUGAUUGAGAAUAAAACUGGCCAAAUCCAUAUCGAAAAUCGGAUGUACAGAUUUUCGAUUAUAUUUGCAGGCUCGAUUUUUUUCAUAAUAAAUAACCGAAGCUCGAACUUCGGUCUUAAAUACACGUCAUUAAGUGCUGAAAAAGGGAAAUUCUGCAAUACUGUAUUUCCAAUACUUUUCCAUUUAUUGUAGUAAUUUUAUGACUUUUAAUAAAAAGUUGUAACAAUAAAAGCUGUAACAAUAGUUAUGUCAUGCUCUACUUAUGACAAACUCCAUGACUCCAAGAGAUUAAAUAUCGGGAAUCAAAUUAUUGUAGAAACAGCAAAAAGAAAUCGUAUUAGCAAGAUUCUGUUUAGGACACAAUCAAAUUUCAUUAUUCGUUGCCCAUCUAUAACUUUUAACUUAAUGAAAUAAGACCAAACGAUGUGCACUUAAUAUUCAGCACAUUUUAGUUGCAUACCUUUAUUUUACUGCCAGAAGAUUAC